AAAGGUUCAAAAAACACAUUAUUUUCCACAUACUGUGUGUAACAGAGUUAUAUACAAAGUGUGUCUCCACUUGCAAAUAAUGAUAUAUCAAAUAAUCACAUUUACAAAUGACUAGAUGGAAAAAUGUUUAUCAGAGCUUCCUAUUGGCUGGCUGGUUCUACGUGCUGUGUACGCCCCUGUUGCGUUCGUCAGUUCAUUUGUAAAAAGGCCAGUGCGUGCCAGCACGAGGAGUGUCGAAUAUGCUGGAACUGAUCAACUCACUCUGUGUUAUCCUGUUUUCUCAGUGAAUAAAAAAACAAAGGCUGGGAGAAGAGUUUGGUUUUCACGAGCUUUAUUGAUACACAACACAACGCAGAAAAGAUUAAAAGAAAAGACCAGUUACAUGUGCAUUAUUGUUGCUCUUCUAUGCCCCACCUUUCUGAAACGCGCCAAUUUUUACAAAGCUCAUCAUUUUCAAAAGAGAG
Molecule: long non-coding RNA, 464 nt
Filed under: Carassius auratus (goldfish)
Lineage: Eukaryota; Metazoa; Chordata; Actinopteri; Cypriniformes; Cyprinidae
Description: lncRNA (ENSCARG00000048650.1)
Source: RNAcentral